GGAGGGAUCAUUACCGGCGAUAUGCAUAAAGAGAGACUGCGUUCGCGUAGUCUCCAACCUGGAGGCCAAACCGACAGGUUGCAUGCCCAACCCGUGUUUAUACGUACCAUUUUGUUGCCUCGGCGGCUUCGGCCGUCGUAGGACCCCUUCUCAAACGCUUUUUGUAGUCAAUGUUGCAGUCUGAGCGAAACACGCAAUUGAAUUAAAACUUUCAACAACGGAUCUCUUGGUUCUGGCAUCGAUGAAGAACGCAGCGAAAUGCGAUAAGUAGUGUGAAUUGCAGAAUUCAGUGAAUCAUCGAAUCUUUGAACGCACAUUGCGCCCUUUGGCAUUCCGAAGGGCAUGCCUGUUCGAGCGUCAUUUCAACCGUCCAGCCUAGCUGGGUGUUGGGCGUUUUGUCCCGCCACGUGCGCGGACUCGCCUUAAAACAAUCGGCGUCUGUAUGUGGGCCUGAUGCGUAGCACAACUCGCACAGUCAGGCAGGCAUGCGGGCGGCCGGCAAAGCACUUUUUUUUGGUUGACCUCGGAUCAGGUAGGGAUACCCGCUGAACUUAAGCAUAUCAAUAAGCGGAGGAAAAGAAACCAACAGGGAUUGCCUCAGUAACGGCGAGUGAAGCGGCAACAGCUCAAAUUUGAAAUCUGGCCCCCUGCGGGGUCCGAGUUGUAAUUUGUAGAGGGUGUUUCGGCGUGGAGCGCGGUCUAAGUUUCUUGGAACAGGACGUCAUAGAGGGUGAGAACCCCGUAUGCGGCCGGCGCGCCUCGCCAUGUGAAACCCCUUCGACGAGUCGAGUUGUUUGGGAAUGCAGCUCUAAAUGGGAGGUAUAUUUCUUCUAAAGCUAAAUAUUGGCCAGAGACCGAUAGCGCACAAGUAGAGUGAUCGAAAGAUGAAAAGCACUUUGGAAAGAGAGUCAAACAGCACGUGAAAUUGUUGAAAGGGAAGCGCUUGCCACCAGACUUGCCCGCCGCCGCUCAUCCUGGGGUUUCCCCAGGUGCACUCGGCGGUAGGCAGGCCAGCAUCAGUGGGGGCGGUCGGACAAAGGCGCGGGGAAUGUAGCUCUCUUCGGGGAGUGUUAUAGCCCCGCGUGUCCCACGGCCUGCCCCGACUGAGGUCCGCGCUUCGGCUAGGAUGCUGGCGUAAUGGUUGCAAGCGGCCCGUCUUGAAACACGGACCAAGGAGUCUAACAUCUAUGCGAGUGUUUGGGUGACAAGCCCGGGCGCGGAAUGAAAGUGAACGGAGGUGGGAACCCCUUGCGGGGUGCACCAUCGACCGAUCCUGAUGUCUUCGGAUGGAUUUGAGUAAGAGCAUAGCUGUUGGGACCCGAAAGAUGGUGAACUAUGCCUGAAUAGGGUGAAGCCAGAGGAAACUCUGGUGGAGGCUCGCAGCGGUUCUGACGUGCAAAUCGAUCGUCAAAUUUGGGCAUAGGGGCGAAAGACUAAUCGAACUAUCUAGUAGCUGGUUCCUGC
This 1464-nucleotide unclassified non-coding RNA is filed under the name uncultured fungus. Its description in RNAcentral is "sequence contains 18S rRNA gene, ITS1, 5.8S rRNA gene, ITS2, 28S rRNA gene". The stretch from base 519 to 1464 matches the Rfam family "Eukaryotic large subunit ribosomal RNA", at positions 1 to 961 of the family's 3401-position model. The record is from RNAcentral. Lineage: Eukaryota; Fungi.